AGUGAACGCUGGCGGUAGGCCUAACACAUGCAAGUCGAACGGCAGCACAGUAAGAGCUUGCUCUUACGGGUGGCGAGUGGCGGACGGGUGAGGAAUACAUCGGAAUCUACUUUUUCGUGGGUGAUAACGUAGGGAAACUUACGCUAAUACCGCAUACGACCUACGGGUGAAAGCAUGGGAUCUUCGGACCUUGCGCGAUUGAAUGAGCCGAUGUCGGAUUAGCUAGUUGGCGGGGUAAAGGCCCACCAAGGCGACGAUCCGUAGCUGGUCUGAGAGGAUGAUCAGCCACACUGGAACUGAGACACGGUCCAGACUCCUACGGGAGGCAGCAGUGGGGAAUAUUGGACAAUGGGCGCAAGCCUGAUCCAGCCAUACCGCGUGGGUGAAGAAGGCCUUCGGGUUGUAAAGCCCUUUUGUUGGGAAAGAAAAGCAGCAGGUUAAUACCCCGCUGUUCUGACGGUACCAAAAGAAUAAGCACCGGCUAACUUCGUG
RNAcentral lists this ribosomal RNA (492 nucleotides) under uncultured bacterium. Its description in RNAcentral is "partial 16S ribosomal RNA". It matches the Rfam family "Bacterial small subunit ribosomal RNA", at positions 29 to 507 of the family's 1533-position model. The record is from RNAcentral.